UGGCCCGUCUCGUAGUUUCUCCCUCUUGUACCGAAAAAUCCGCGCCGGGCGAUAAAUCAGAUCGCGUCACGUCUAAAACCGAUGGUGCAACUUUUGUCCAAUAACGUGAUACGUAAACGUCCGUAUACACAGGGCCCGGCUAAACCGUCGCUCCACUCGAUAUAUUUGCGACAUACUUCGAAAAUCUCUGCUCUGUCUAUCUUCUUUCUCGCUUUAGUUGAUUUUCGAAGAAGAACGGACGGAUUUUACUGAAUAAUCGCUCGUCACUGAUAAUAAGAUGAAGAAGAAAAAUGUUGACAAAGAUUAUCGGUGGAAACAUCGUGACUGUAAGGGGAUCCCCAGUGAGACCCGAGUCAGAUGAGAGAAUACGUAUAAUACGGGGUGAAGCAGGUCUUUUUUUCUUUCGUCCCGGUACGUCCCGUGACAUUUUGGAAGGGAAAAUGAUAUAGGUUAAAACUACGUGAACGAAAUUCCGCUGAAGCAACCGGAAAUAAGGACUCGACCUCGCGUUCGCGUGUGGUUCCGCUCAGUAGACGGAAGAAAGCAAUUCUCCGGGCGUUCUCGGGAGAACGUUAGUCGACAAAGAAAUGUAGCCAAGAAUGUUGAAGCAGCAUCUAUUGAACUUGACUGAAGAAUAAUUCUUUUACGAUCGAAACACAGAUCGUUAUAACGUGAAAUGGAAUUUUUAUGAUUUCAACUUUUAUUACUCGAAUAAGGUUGGAUUUUAUAUUUUUAUAGAAUGGUUUAACAAUGGUACCUGCGUUUUAUAGAAAGUGCAGAGAUAGAAAGAUGACUAGCGGGAGGGCACAGGGGCGAACGGAGUACUUCGCACGUUCUUAAUAUUUACAAAUAUUUUCUAAAUUGUAUUGUAAAAUUACAGAGUAUUAAAGAAACUGGGGCGUGAUCUAAGCAAAGCUGAAAAUUUAUUCGAUAUUAAGAAUAUAAGUAGAAGCGACGAUAAAAAGUCAGCGAGACAUUGAUUAAUGUUUUUAAAAAGACAAAAAUGAGGUAUACGAAGCAUAGAGUUGAGAAUAAUCAAAUCACUGACGAUGAGAAGCAUAAAUCAAACUUAGAUUUUCGAAGGUAUAAAAGGAAGCGUAACAAAGCAGCGAAGAAAACGGUAAAAGAAAUAAAAAUCAUGUGUGUCGCACUUUUACGAGUUCCUCUCCUCCUUCGCGAGUAAUGUGCGAGGCAUAUGGUACAGUGACGGCUGUUACCCCUUUACGGUGCCAACCCACCCUUUUCUAACACGCUAGUCUCCGGUAUUCCUGCCACGCGUCCCAAAAUCACCGGCUGCUAAAAACGUGCAUGCUGAACACGAGUGUUCUAAUACUUUAAGCAACGACACCCACGUGCAAAGUGAUACGCUUAUAUUAACCUAUAGAUCGGUACACUUUACCUACUCUUGCAAAGUACCAUUUCGCCAUCGGCGUAACGAGAAUUUUUUAGUAUGGCGAGAACGGG
Long non-coding RNA from Osmia lignaria (orchard mason bee), 1464 nucleotides. RefSeq lists it as uncharacterized. Lineage: Eukaryota; Metazoa; Arthropoda; Insecta; Hymenoptera; Megachilidae. The record is from RefSeq and is a predicted model, not a curated record.